UCUUACCAGAAAGUAUAGAUGUGGACAUAGUAUGCUGAAAUAGUUAAACAGAUCUGAACAUUUUAUCAAUAGGGAGAAAGAAGCUAAGCUUAUCAGCUAACACACUAUUCUAAGGAUAAAUUUCAGAACAUAAAAAAUAAACUUAUUUUGGAAUCUAAACUGAACCACAUCAAGCAGAAACAUUCAUGAAGAUUGCCAACAAUCAUAUUACGACCAUGCUUCUGUUAACAACCACGACUUAAUUCAAAUUUUAUUCAUUACUCCAAAAUAACAACCAAUACUCUCCUAUAAUACUGGCCCGACAUCAGAAAGCCAAUUAAGCUUCAUUUCUCAUGGUGUUUCAAACAGCACUAACACUAGGUAAAAGAAUUAAGAAGGAACCUAAAUAUGAACAAAAAACAGUUGACAAUUAGUGCCUCGAGCAGCAGCAGAUUCAAGCUUCUCGAGCAAAUUCCGUUUUACCCAGAAUCUGGAAUCGACAAUGAAAAUAUAUACCUUAAGACUUCGACAUUUUAGACAGUAAUAGACAUUGGAAUCAAACCAUAGAAAAUUUAACAAUAUCUGUAUUUUUUCCUCUGUUCUCAAACUAGCAACCAAAAAUGAAACAAAAGAAGAAAAGAGAAAUGUUUAAAACUUGACUCUCUGCUUUCAAUUUCCUUCCGAAAAAAAUAUUUUCUUCACUUUUUCUCCCUUAAAGUAUCCUUUCUGUCUGAAAUUUUUCCUCUCCUCUACACAAGAAAUUCCCUCACCUUAUAUAAGCCCUCGGAUAUUCUUGAAGCUUCCUACUUCCUCACCAUGAAAUCCCUGAAUUUAUCCCCAUAAUCCGAAAGGACACCAACCCAGUCUCACACGGAAUGAAACUUGGACAAAUGGAAGGCACAGAUAUGAUUUCUCACAUCCAACCGCUCCCAUUUACCCGAGAUUCAACCCUUGAAAUCAAGAGCACGUGAAGAUGGCAAACGUUGAAAAUAUUCUAUCAGAGACAGUUAUGCCACAUAGGAGAGAGAAGGAGAGACCAUGUGAUGAGUUAGAUGUGCUCGACUGAAAACUCUGGCGAGUUUGGCGAGCUCAGUGAGGCAGACACGGUUGGAGACGGGCACUGCCUUUGAGGUCUCUAGGUUUAGGGUUGUGCCUCAAUUUGGAAUGGGGUAUAAUGAGAGACCAGGGGGAACAUGGGUUGUUUAAUGUUAGGGAUGUGUGAAACGACGUAAUUUAGAACUAAAACUAUAUCAUUUCGGCUAGCAGAAAGUGGAUCGGGUAUUAGGGGUCUGGGCCUAGUUCGGUCAUGGGUGCUAGAUGACUUGGGCGUGGAAAAAAAUGAAAUAAAGAAGCCCAAAAAACCUGAAUCUCCUUUCUCUCUUUCUUUUCUCUUUUUUUUUUUUUUUUAAUUUCAACUCAAUUUAACCCAAAAUUCUUUUUCCUUCUUUUUCAAAAUUUGAUUAAAAUCAAAAUUAAUUCCUAGAACUUAAUUAACUAAUUAAACC
RNAcentral lists this long non-coding RNA (1484 nucleotides) under Nicotiana benthamiana. RNAcentral describes it as "long non-coding RNA (NBEN_LNC042323)". The record is from RNAcentral. Lineage: Eukaryota; Viridiplantae; Streptophyta; Magnoliopsida; Solanales; Solanaceae.